GGAGGGGUGGCCGAGUGGUUUAAGGCACCGGUCUUGAAAACCGGCGUGCGGGAAACCGUACCGUGGGUUCGAAUCCCACCCCCUCCG
RNAcentral lists this transfer RNA (87 nucleotides) under Glycocaulis alkaliphilus. It matches the Rfam family "tRNA". Rfam says of the family: Transfer RNA (tRNA) molecules are approximately 80 nucleotides in length. RNAcentral also lists the same sequence under 1 other name. The record is from Rfam by way of RNAcentral. Lineage: Bacteria; Pseudomonadati; Pseudomonadota; Alphaproteobacteria; Maricaulales; Maricaulaceae.